This 398-nucleotide ribosomal RNA is filed under the name uncultured bacterium. RNAcentral's name for it is "partial 16S ribosomal RNA". It matches the Rfam family "Bacterial small subunit ribosomal RNA", at positions 523 to 918 of the family's 1533-position model. The record is from RNAcentral.
AUACGUAGGGGGCGAGCGUUGUCCGGAAUUACUGGGCGUAAAGAGCUCGUAGGUGGUUUGUCGCGUCGUCUGUGAAAUUCCGGGGCUUAACUCCGGGCGUGCAGGCGAUACGGGCAUAACUUGAGUACUGUAGGGGAGACUGGAAUUCCUGGUGUAGCGGUGAAAUGCGCUGAUAUCAGGAGGAACACCGGUGGCGAAGGCGGGUCUCUGGGCAGUAACUGACGCUGAGGAGCGAAAGCAUGGGUAGCGAACAGGAUUAGAUACCCUGGUAGUCCAUGCCGUAAACGGUGGGCGCUAGGUGUAGGGGUCUUCCACGACUUCUGUGCCGUAGCUAACGCAUUAAGCGCCCCGCCUGGGGAGUACGGCCGCAAGGCUAAAACUCAAAGGAAUUGACGGGG